Molecule: long non-coding RNA, 802 nt
Filed under: Brassica napus (rape)
Lineage: Eukaryota; Viridiplantae; Streptophyta; Magnoliopsida; Brassicales; Brassicaceae
Description: long non-coding RNA (BNAP_LNC021409)
Source: RNAcentral
UAUGUAGAAAACUAAAUUUGUAUACAGUUUACUAUCGAUUUAACCGUCUAACAUCUACGUUCACCUAAAACGAUAACGUUUAAAAUUUCCGCUUAGCCGGAUACUUUUUGAAUGAACCGAGUGUUGUAACUGUUGACCGGCCAAAUCGAUUGUUUCUAUAUUAACGGUACAUAGGUUAAUAAACGCUUAACUCAAACAAAAAAUCCAAUGCCCUGAAUACUAAACUCUAAACCCGAAAUACUAAACCCUAAACCCAAUAGGAAGCCCAAAACCCAAACCCUAGUCACUAAAUCCUAAACCUUAAACCCAAUAGUAACCCCGGAACCCAAAAACCCUAGUCAUUAAACCCUAAACCCAAUACUAAACCCCUUAAACCCAAUAGGAACCCCUGAACCCAAACCUCCACGUAAGUGUAAACAAUUAUCUAGAAAAUUGAUUUCUUAUACAUUUAUGUAUCUUGUUAACCGGAUACUUUGUCCUUUCACCCUAAACAAUAAUGUAUUAAAGUUCAUCUUAGCCGGAUAUUGUUAUAAUUACCGGUCGGUUGUAAAUAUUGACCGGUUAAAUAGUUAGACUCCAUAUUGCGGGUACAUAACUUUAUAAGAAUCAAGAUCAUAACUAUGACAUAUGAAAUGAAUAUACGAGUAACGUUUAGGCAAUGUUUUCGUUGAUCACCCUAAACCCUAAACCCUAAGCCCUAAACCCCGAAACCCAAAAACCCUAGUCAUUAAACCCUAAACCUAAUACUAAACCCUAAACCUAAUAGGAACCCCUGAACCCAAACCUCCACGUAAGUGUAAAC